RNAcentral lists this ribosomal RNA (746 nucleotides) under uncultured bacterium. RNAcentral's name for it is "bacterial SSU rRNA". It matches the Rfam family "Bacterial small subunit ribosomal RNA", at positions 100 to 841 of the family's 1533-position model. The record is from RNAcentral.
GAACGGGUGAGUAAUAUAUCGGAACGUGCCCAGUCGUGGGGGAUAACGCAGCGAAAGCUGUGCUAAUACCGCAUACGAUCUCUGGAUGAAAGCGGGGGACUCGCAAGAGCCUCGCGCGAUUGGAGCGGCCGAUAUCAGAUUAGCUAGUUGGUGGGGUAAAAGCUCACCAAGGCGACGAUCUGUAGCUGGUCUGAGAGGACGACCAGCCACACUGGAACUGAGACACGGUCCAGACUCCUACGGGAGGCAGCAGCGGGGGAUUUUGGACAAUGGGCGCAAGCCUGAUCCAGCAAUGCCGCGUGCAGGAUGAAGGCCUUCGGGUUGUAAACUGCUUUUGUACGGAACGAAACGGCUCUUUCUAAUAAAGAGGGCUAAUGACGGUACCGUAAGAAUAAGCACCGGCUAACUACGUGCCAGCAGCCGCGGUAAUACGUAGGGUGCGAGCGUUAAUCGGAAUUACUGGGCGUAAAGCGUGCGCAGGCGGUGAUGUAAGACAGAUGUGAAAUCCCCGGGCUCAACCUGGGACCUGCAUUUGUGACUGCAUCGCUAGAGUACGGUAGAGGGGGAUGGAAUUCCGCGUGUAGCAGUGAAAUGCGUAGAUAUGCGGAGGAACACCGAUGGCGAAGACAAUCCCCUGGACCUGUACUGACGCUCAUGCACGAAAGCGUGGGGAGCAAACAGGAUUAGAUACCCUGGUAGUCCACGCCCUAAACGAUGUCAACUGGUUGUUGGGUCUUUACUGACUC